AUUGCCGUGAGCUGCUUGGAAAGUCAACUCUGAGAUGGAGAUGAGCAUCCAGGAGUUUGUUGGGGCGUGUUCUUGGGACCACCCACUCUGGGAGUGGAGUGAGGGAGGUGGCCUGGGCAGGAGGAGAAACUGGCCUGUGAGGGGGGCCUCAACACAAGCCAACCCAAGCUCCCGUGGGGAGCCUCGAAGCCGGGCCAGGCCUUUCUACCUCUCCGUAAACAAGUCAUUGAACCUGGGCACCCUGGGAAGAGGACAUGACCAUGUUGAGAUGCCACUUUUCAUCUGAAGCAAGUCUGAGGAGGGCUGAUGGCUGGGGCUUUCUCCGGAAGCCCUCCUGGAAGCUUCAGGAAUAAUCCUGAUGGGUCUCUGAGGGGUACCCCACAGCAUCCCCACUGGAAGCGGACUGAGCCUGUCCCGGCUAACUUAGGCCACUGCUACCGUUGCCGCUGCUGCUGCCACCCCUGCUGUUACUUAAAAAUUCCUGAACAAAUGCUGAAAAGAGGUCACGCCUGAGACAGCAGCUAUACACGCGGAUGUCCCUGAGCAAAUCAGGAGGCAGCCACCCUGUCUGUAGCAGAGUUCAAGGCAUGAUUUCCAGGAGAAAGGACGACUUACGUUUACCAGCCUUGAAAGGAUAGAGAGGUUCUGUCAUCCACAGUGGAGCUACAGAUGGCAGAAAAGAUCAAAGGACGAUGAGGACUCUCAGGAGAAGCUGAUAAGGGAGACGGUUCUGGGACUCUUAGAUGUUGUAGACCUGGUAUUUCUGCCGUUGACAAGGUGCCUUGUGCAACCUUCAUGGACAGAUAAGUACAAUUUGAAACCUGUUAAAAAUUUUAUACUCAAGUGUGCUAAUUAAUGAGUUCAUGACAAUCUGGAUGGGUUUUUGGUGGCACGCUCUGAUCUGUUCCACAGUUUCACCAGCUUAUUAAGUUCUCAGAUGAUGAAGAUCUAGGUGGGAUGGAAAACAUGGCAGAUGGCAGAUGACGAAAAGAUCUCGACAAGUUAAAGUGAUGGACUGCAUCUAAUAGGACGAAAUGCAGUAGUAAUAAAAACAAUAUUCUGCAUCAGAGUUUCAUUUCUAAUUGGACAAAUACAGAAAGAAAAUGUGAUGCUUAGUAGCAGUUCAGGCACAGGAGUUAAUGCAUCAUGAGUUAAUGAGGCCGCCGGAGGGAUUCAUGAGUGUGUAUCAACAGAAGUAUAGUAUCUAAAACAAGGCAGAGACUGGGACUGCCCUGGUGUGCUUUUUGUGCUUCAGUGUGUGCAGACAAGGGACAUAGGCAAACUGGGCCGUGUGGCUAAACUAGAGGUGCUUCGUCAUAGGAUAAGCUGACACAUGCAUUAAGAGCUAUUGAAUCUGGAAAAGGCCUAUGGCACAAGGGGGCGCGGUGGGCAAUAAUGCGUCACAAAGUAUUUGAAGGGAUCACGCGUUUGAGAUUAGACUUACUUUGUAAGUCUUACCCCAAAAAGAAAAAAAUUAGGAUCCGUAACUAGAAGCCUGCCAGGAUAUAAAUUUCUGGUGUAAGAAACCACCUCAGGAGAGAAUGAGCUCCCCAUUCCAGAUGUCUUAAAAAUAAACUCCCUUGAUGAAAACGCUGUAAAGGGUAUUUACACAUUAUACUGGGUCGCUGACACUAUAAUUCUAUAAUUCCAAAGGCCAUAUAUGAGCCAGAACAUCCCAGCUCCCCCAUUGCCUGCCUGGCCCUUCCUGAUACAGUCCAUCCUUCUUUCCAUAAGCUUCAACGUUCUGUGCUUUGACUGAAGCCACAAAUUUGGCCAGUUCUUAUGUAACGGUGGCUCACUGUGUACCAUUCCAGGCACCUUUGUAACAUUAACCCAUGUAAGCCUCAUAACAUACUGUGAGGCAUUCAUGAUGACUAGCUCCCUUUGGCUUCUGAGGAAAUGGAGUGGAAGAGAGGUUACCUAACCUGCCCAUGUUCCCACGGCCAGGAAGUGGCAGAACUGGCACCUGAGCUCAGGCAUGUAUCUCUCCUUCUUAGAGACCUGGGCUACCCACAGCGAAUCUCCUCUGGGCAGAAGCGCCCUGAGAGGUAAUCUUUGGCUUGGAAUUGACACACUCUAGUUCUGAGACGUUCCAAGUCCAAAGUCAAUGGGGCAGGAAGGGAUACUCUUCUCUAGGAGGUCAUGGGAAGGAGUGAAUGUUUACUUAAAGGUAAUUUGAUCUUCCAUGAAAGGACUGGAUUUAGGCCAACUC
Panthera uncia (snow leopard) is the source of this 2212-nucleotide long non-coding RNA. RefSeq lists it as uncharacterized. The transcript has 3 exons. The record is from RefSeq and is a predicted model, not a curated record. Lineage: Eukaryota; Metazoa; Chordata; Mammalia; Carnivora; Felidae.